ACCUGUAGUCUCAGCUACUCUGGAGGUUUAGGCAGGAGGAUCACUUGAGCCCAGGAGUUCUGGGCUGUAGUGCGCUAUGCUGACCCUAUACAGAUGACAAAUUCUGCAUCAGUAUAGUGACCUCCUGGGAGUAGGGGACCACCAGGUUGCCUAAGGAGGGGCGAACAGGUCCUGGUCAGAAACAGAGCAGAUGAAAGCUCCUGGGCUGAUUAAUAGUGGGAUAGCACUUGUGAAUAGCCACUGCACUUCAGCCUGGGCAACAUAGCAAGACUUUGUCUCU
This 280-nucleotide signal recognition particle RNA is filed under the name Mandrillus leucophaeus (drill). Its description in RNAcentral is "Metazoan signal recognition particle RNA (ENSMLEG00000006072.1)". It matches the Rfam family "Metazoan signal recognition particle RNA". Rfam says of the family: The signal recognition particle (SRP) is a universally conserved ribonucleoprotein. The record is from RNAcentral. Lineage: Eukaryota; Metazoa; Chordata; Mammalia; Primates; Cercopithecidae.